UGAACAGGCAAAAGCUCAGAUUUGAAACCCUCGGGAUUGUAAUCUGGAGACCUGGAUUUGGCACGCUGACCAAGUCUUCUGGAACGGAGCGCCAUGGAGGGUGACAGCCCCGUAGCAGCAGCCACUGUAAAUCCGGGUCGACGAGUCGAGUUGUUUGGGAAUGCAGCUCUAAGUGGGUGGUAUGCUCCAUCUAAAGCUAAAUAUUGGCGAGAGACCGAUAGCGAACAAGUACUGUGAAGGAAAGAUGAAAAGAACUUUGAAAAGAGAGUGAAAAAGUACGUGAAAUUGUUGAAAUGGAAGGCAAUGAGGUGCGAUUGAACCGGACGUUUGCGGGCAGGACAAAAGCGCAGGCCGCCUCGGCAUUGCCUGCGUGCAUACUGCCUCGCGGACUACCAGUUCUAACAACGCCUUAUUGCACCCGUCUUG
RNAcentral lists this ribosomal RNA (426 nucleotides) under Entelexis sorbosivorans. Its description in RNAcentral is "eukaryotic LSU rRNA". It matches the Rfam family "Eukaryotic large subunit ribosomal RNA", at positions 94 to 656 of the family's 3401-position model. The record is from RNAcentral. Lineage: Eukaryota; Fungi; Ascomycota; Dipodascomycetes; Dipodascales; Trichomonascaceae.